AAUGAUUUAGAGCAGUGAGCGGCUGGGUGCUAAUGUCCGGCCACGAGAGAGGAACAACUCAGACCAGCAGCUAAGGCCCCGAAGAGUAUACUAAGUUGAACUAACGAUGUGCGACUGCAGCGACAGCUAGGAUGUUAGCUUGGAAGCAGCUAUUCAUUUAAAGAGUGCGUAACAGCUCACUAGUCGAGCGGUUGUGCGUGGAUAAUAAACGGGCAUCAAGUAUACCGCCGAAGCUCUGGGAUCUACGGAUCGGUAGGGGAGCAUUCCAUUCGCGUCGAAGUUGUAGCGUGAGCUAUGGUGGAGCGUAUGGAAAAGCAAAUGUAGGCAUAAGUAACGAUAAGGCGGGCGAGAAACCCGCCCACCGCAAGACCAAGGUUUCCUGAUCAACGUUAAUCGGAUCAGGGUUAGUCGGGACCUAAGGAUAAGCCGAAAGGUGAUUUCGAUGGACAAUCGGUUAAUAUUCCGAUACUGAUAUGGACUGCGACGGAGAGACGAAGGGGCGUAAGCCACGCCAACUGACGGAAUAGUUGGUUAAAGGAUGUAGGUAAAUCGGGAGGUUAAGAGCUUUCUGAUGCUGAAAUCCGACAGUACCGCGAGCCUACGGGUGAGCGGAUAGUUGGCCCAAGCGGACUUCCGAGAAAAACUUCUAAGCUUCAGGUUCAUAUCACCCGUACCGUAAACCGACACAGGUGGUCGAGGAGAGUAUCCUAAGGUGCUCGAGUGAUUCACGGUUAAGGAACUAGGCAAAUUAACCCCGUAACUUCGGAAUAAGGGGUCCCAUUGAGAGAUGGGCGCAGCGAAGAGGUCCAGGCGACUGUUUAGCAAAAACACAGGGCUCUGCAAAUUCGAAAGAAGACGUAUAGGGCCUGACACCUGCCCGGUGCUGGAAGGUUAAGAGGGGAUGUCAUCGCAAGAGAAGCAUUGAAUCGAAGCCCCAGUAAACGGCGGCCGUAACUAUAACGGUCCUAAGGUAGCGAAAUUCCUUGUCGGGUAAGUUCCGACCUGCACGAAUGGUGUAACGAUCUGGACACUGUCUCAACCGUGAGCUCGGUGAAAUUGUAGUCCCGGUGAAGAUGCCGGGUACCCGCAACGGGACGAAGAGACCCCGUGAACCUUUACUGCAGCUUAACGCUGAAUUUGGGUAUACGAUGUGUAGGAUAGGCAGGAGACAAUGAAGCGGGUACGCCAGUAUUCGUGGAGUCAACGUUGAAAUA
This 1214-nucleotide ribosomal RNA is filed under the name human gut metagenome. RNAcentral's name for it is "bacterial LSU rRNA". It matches the Rfam family "Bacterial large subunit ribosomal RNA", at positions 969 to 2199 of the family's 2925-position model. The record is from RNAcentral.